Hibiscus syriacus is the source of this 107-nucleotide small nucleolar RNA. Lineage: Eukaryota; Viridiplantae; Streptophyta; Magnoliopsida; Malvales; Malvaceae. The record is from RefSeq and is a predicted model, not a curated record.
AAUUCAUGUAUAGGACAGUUCCGCAGUAAAGCCUUGAAUCUUUCCCAUGCUUCAUACAAGUUUUCAUCCUACAUUUACUUGAAUAAAGUUAAACCAUUUCGAAGUUU